RNAcentral lists this ribosomal RNA (517 nucleotides) under uncultured bacterium. RNAcentral's name for it is "bacterial SSU rRNA". It matches the Rfam family "Bacterial small subunit ribosomal RNA", at positions 8 to 521 of the family's 1533-position model. The record is from RNAcentral.
AGAGUUUGAUCCUGGCUCAGGACGAACGCUGGCGGCGUGCCUAACACAUGCAAGUCGAACGGAGAGUUUAUUGAGGAGACUUCGGUCAACGAGAUAAAUUUCUUAGUGGCGGACGGGUGAGUAACGCGUGAGCAAUCUGCCUUUCAGAGGGGGAUAACAUUCUGAAAAGAAUGCUAAUACCGCAUAACGUAUUUUGGUGGCAUCAUCGAAAUACCAAAGGAGCAAUCCGCUGAAAGAUGAGCUCGCGUCUGAUUAGAUAGUUGGUGGGGUAACGGCCUACCAAGUCGACGAUCAGUAGCCGGACUGAGAGGUUGAACGGCCACAUUGGGACUGAGACACGGCCCAGACUCCUACGGGAGGCAGCAGUGGGGAAUAUUGCACAAUGGGCGCAAGCCUGAUGCAGCAACGCCGCGUGAGGGAAGACGGUCUUCGGAUUGUAAACCUCUGUCCUUGGUGACGAAACAAUGACGGUAGCCUUGGAGGAAGCCACGGCUAACUACGUGCCAGCAGCCGCGGU